RNAcentral lists this long non-coding RNA (33505 nucleotides) under Lactuca sativa (garden lettuce). RNAcentral describes it as "long non-coding RNA (LSAT_LNC000660)". The record is from RNAcentral. Lineage: Eukaryota; Viridiplantae; Streptophyta; Magnoliopsida; Asterales; Asteraceae.
UCCAAGAAAGGGUCGGCCUUGGUGCCUUAGACCCUGUUGAUAAAGUGAGGAUAACUCACCUUGCAAUGUCGGACUGCACCACAAAAUCACGCUCCCGAAACACUGCCCCGAACUCCAACACCUAUAACCAUCAAUGAUCCAAUUCAUAAAUACUCGCUUACCAAUUAUCCUCAAAAGUCAAAACAGUCAACCCUUGGUCAAAGUCAAAGUCAACUAUUAAUGUCAAUGGUCCAUGUUGACGUCAACUCGUCGAGUACCCUCAGCUACUCGUCGAGUUCGUUUCAUAGCUUGCCAACUCGCCGAGUCACCAUGCCAUUCGCCAAGCCCAAGGCAAUCUUCAUCGGACUCGUCGAGUCGACCAUGCCACUCGCUGAGUCCCUUCGGUCCUUCAUCCAUACAGAUACUUUUUAAGCCAUGCUAACGCUCCAUACUACAUAUCCAACUUCCCAAGGAAUGCUUAUCACAUAAAGUUGCAAACUUUACGUGCGUGCAAGGCUCUAAUGACUCAUAACGCCAAAUCCAAUCUUGAAAUUGGGUUGUACACUUAAGGAGGGAUUCAUAAUUUCCAAAGUUGAUAGGUUUAUUGUCUUACAAAUCAAAGAGAGUUCAGAUUUGAAGUUACAACUUCAGAUCUGACCUCAUACCCAAGAAUAGCUUCAUAACAAAGCCAAGAAGCCCUAAACUUCAUCCAAAGAGAUAUAAGAGACGAAUGACGCCAAUAUCAUGAAUUGAUACCUCAAAUGAAGCUAGUUGAGAUGGAUUUUGUAGAUCCACACGAGCCCUUGCUGCUAGUUACUUGACUUUCAAACUCCCUUGAUAAGUUCUACCCUCCAAAGCUUAAAAACAUAUACAAAUAAAGUUCUCACACGAAAUAGGGUUUGCUGGACUCUGUAGAGGCUGCAAAGGGACUAAGAAAGGCUAAUGAUCCCUUAAAUAGGUUUCCAAUCUUCAGAAAUUAGGGUUUCACCCUCCAGCUGCAACUCGUCGAGUAACUCUUCCGACUCGGCAAGUUGGUCAUUUAAACACGUGGCCCAAAACCGCUGCUACUCGACGAGUCAGCCAACCAACUCGUCGAGUAGAUCUUGAAUUCAUGAGAAUUGAUAACCAUAAAUUGGUAUUCGACAAUCGGGGCAUUACAAUUCUCCCCCACUUAAACUAGACUUCAUCCUCGAUGUCUGAUGUGGUGAACAUCCUCGAAUAGUGCUCCCGCACCACACCGCACCCCCCCGCCUCCGGCUCUCACGUCCACUCGGACCCCCCCCCUUUGGUGCUCCCACUGUACCUUUACCAAAGGUACCCCUUGCUCCGCAGAACCUUCACCCUUCUCUCCAGAAACCAAAAGGCCUAUCAACAUAAUUCAGGCGCUCAUCGACUUGAAUGUCCUCCAACGAUACCACCGCCUUCUGAUCCAUGAUGCACUUUCGCAAUUGCGAAACGUGAAAGGUGAUGUGAAUCCCAAUUGAACCUUAUAAAAGGUCUAUCCUGCAUGCCACCUUUCCAACUUGACAAAAUCCUGAUGAUUCAACAUAUCUGAAACCCAACUUUCCUCUUCCUGAAGCGAACCCUUUGAGCUGUCAUGAUAAUGCAUCAUUCAGCUCUCAUAAUAUCAUACAUAAUCAAUCCACUAAUAAAUACGAACACUCAUUCCUGGCUCAAUCAACCUUGGGCUUGAAUACCAAACAUAUCAAUUCCAGUCAAUCAUAGGGACCGGUCAUCCCCUGGAUGGAAUACCCGAGAUUGGGAUACCUCCAUGAACAUAACUUGGGUCUACUCUUAAGCGAAGAUCCAAGGAUCUAUCCUUGCAUCUCAUUCAUAAUCCUCUGAUUUGUCACAACCGAGUACAACUCCCCUGAAUCUCUACAGAACAUCCAUUCAAACGCGCUCCUACCAGAGGCAUAACCAACAUAAUAUCUAUCUCCACAGCCUAUAACCGUCAUACCCUUAUAUGGUCCUCAUCAUAGCUAUGUGUUGCUUCUGAGCCCACAUCAUGAGUCUGGUAUGCCCUCUCCGGCCCUCAGCUCAUGACUGGAAUGCUCCCGAUGACCGAUCAACACUACUAUCUAAACCCAUAUCACCCCUUCUGGUUGGAAUACCAAUUAUACCUAAUCAAUUCCAUUAUCGUGCCGAAAUUCUCAGGGUUUGUUGGCCUACCGCCUCAACCCUACCGCUCCCUUUGAGACUCCGCACUUACGCCUUUCAGUCGGCCCACAUCGGGUAUCUUGGCCUACCACAUAGAGAAGGACCGCCUCAACCCCAUCCAAAUGCCAUAAACGAUCAAUAAAAGAUCUAACUCGGUUCCCAAAACCUUAACGACGGAACAUUCUAAUCCCAAACCUUCCCAAAACUAACGAAUACCCAUUCGGAUUCACUCUCAGUCCCAAACUGGAGUAUUACCCGAUCCAAGAAGAUGAAACCUCGAAGACACUCUGAACUGAUGAGAUCACCAAUAUCCUUUGAACUCCGUCAUAAUAACAACUUCUGAUCAAUCAAACUACACCGGAGUCCUCAGCCUACUCCAACAACAUGUUUAAUACUUUGAAUAGGCCUAUUGAUUGCUAUAGCAUAGCAGCCUACUCAAUACCUGAACAUAGAUCUACAAACAUAUACAAGUUCUUCAGCAUGACUGGACCACCCUACCACGCCUUCAGUCUAUCUGGGCCACUCUCAGAACCUUCAUCAUGUCUGAACCUUCAGCAUGACUGGACCACCCUACCACGCCUUCAGUCUAUCUCCCUGGACCACUCCUCCUGAAGCUCUCUCCCAUGCAUCCUGUUCUCACCCACUUGGGGCUUUGAACUCCUGAUCUACUAUGUGGACUAUAUCCCCAGCUUAACCCUAGGCCUCAUGACGAUCGUCCACCCUCUCAGAAAUCCGUGGUCUGUUCCCUGACCAGUGUGUCUACCACAUACACUAAAUAACCUGCACUCCCGUUCUGAAUGUAUUGUCGAGCCUUGGCAGCUAACAAAACCUUCAAUCUAUUAAUCCAAAAACCCUCAUAGUCGAGCGCACCCUCGACUGGAUACUCGACUAAACUCAAUCCCUGACUAGAAUUCCAACCUAUUUCCCCCAAUUUAUGCUAUCAAGCGCCAAGAAGAUGUGUUCCUUAUGCUGGGGAGUUUUGUCGAACUCCUAAUCAACACAACUCUCAAACCAAGCAGCCAAUAUGGCUGGCAUUCUCCUUGUCAGGUUGUGAAACUUAUCCCUAUUUCAAAACCUCUCCCACUUCCGCAUCUCGGGGUAACAUUCCCCCACUUGUAUUCAACUAAGCCUUCAUAAUACAUGAAAAUUGGAGGAUUUCCAAUCCUUCUCACUUCCUAACGAUUGAUCCAAUGAAAACCAAGUCUUUCCCACUAGUGCUCUAUUACUAGUUUGUCCUAAUUGAUCACACACUUCUAAGAACCAGAUGAACACUUCCUGAAUCCCAGUGAAUCCGAUAGCCACUAAUGCUUGAAUGACCCCACACUCAUGUCCUGAAGACCAAAUGAUAAAUGAUCCAACUAAUACCUUGGAAACGAACCACAUCCCUUGGAUUUUUCGUUCGUCAAUCACGAACAGUUGCUAAGACCACUUAGUCCUGACGAUGCUGAAUAACCAUCCUGUGGAACCCUUUCCGUAGACUUCCCACAUAAUAACCCUUUUUCCAAAGGUGUUCCAAUAAACUUCCUGCUCUCGGGCUCUAGAAAUCAUUCUCUUCAGGGUUCACACCCUAACUUAUUUACUAGCUCAAACAUCCACAGCUAAACUACGGUAACUGAAACAACCUCUACCCUAAACUGGGCUACAACUACUCCCAAGACAUAAUCUACAAUCCCAAAAGUAUAAUAGGCCGCACAUUUUAUCCUUACCGCCUGAUAUAAAAGAUCCAAGGCAAACCAGACCUCACAAAAUACUCAUGCUACAUCAAGCCACCCGCGUUCAUCGGCGCUAAAAUAAUGAUGUCUAUUCCGGAAACCCACUGACCCCAAGCUAGAAUACAACCUGAUACUGGGGUCACAAGCCUGCUCACUCCUUAGAGCUUAGAAAACUAAGAGAGCAUAAUACUUGCCCUACAAAACAACAAUCCAAUCCAUCAAUUAACCAUUCCACUUCCAGCUGCAAAACCCCAGCUAAACAUAAUUAUCACUUCUUUCUGGUGACCUCAAGCAAACCCCCGAGCCUCAAAUCUAGAAACUCACGUGCUAGCCUCUCCUGCUCCACCCAAGGAAAUAUAACGAGUCUAGAUCAUCUUCCUGGUCCUAAAUAACUGCAGCCCUCUGCGCAUCAGAAUACGUCUCAGAACUGGGAAGCUCAACCAGCUCCUCCCCUUGCCAUCGUUACAUUAGUUAAAGCUACAGUGGCAACCGUCUCAGCAAUGGAUGUCUAGUGCUCGAUUAAAUACUCAACCAUGACGGUCUUAAUAGACCCUAACAUCUCCAGUAACUUUCCCUAGACAAACUCGAUCACGUCCUUUUGGAUGAUCUCACUGACACGGCCUUCCGACAAUGCUGGCCUAUCCUGGUUGCCAACACCCGAUCCUAACCUGGGUCCGAUAUCAAGACGUCUUGUAACCACCAUUCUGGCAAGACACCAGAAUAAUCUCCGAUAUCCAUAUAACAAUAGGGGACCAACUCCUAACCCAACCCUAGGGGUUGUGACUUAAUUGCUACGCAUAUGGGUCCUGUGCUUUCAAUAGCACGAGCUCAUAAUACCUUCCACACCUAUCCAUAUUUGUCUCAAGUAUCACCACAACACCCUUCUAAUAUACAUAGCAAGCGCUCAAACCUCACCCCUAGAGGAAUGAUAAGUAUCCAAUAACUAGCCUCCCGACCUCUCACAACCCACCCAUCCAUCAACUACCACACGACCCUGUAUUGGUGCGAGUUAACUAUUGCAUGAAUACAAUCACAUACCGCAUGGCUUAAGCAAUCUUAGACAUAAAGAUUUAAUCCCACAACGGUUGGACGUAGAUAAGAGAUGCGUAGCAGGACCAAAUCCCUUACCUUAAGACCAUUUAACCCAUGUAGCAUGUGACUUGGAGUAUUCACCCAAUAGUUAAUUCACACGCGAAAGAGUCAUACAACAAUCAAUGAGGUACUCUACAUAGGAUAAGGCAUCAAAUUUCAGGCAAUUCUAUCAUAUGGUUCCUAAGGAUCCCUAUCUUAUCACUAGCAUGUUGUUCUAACAUAUCACAUAAUCAAAAUCUGCAUGGUAUUUGGGGGUCAAUUUACUGGCUUCGGCUGAUCGUAUGUAACGUCUGUGUUUUUGGGCUAAAAGCAUUAAUAAUGUUGUAAUAGUCUAGGUCAACCUUUGUAACUUAUUUUGAAGUAAUAAAGAGGAAUUAUGUGAAUAUCAUGUGAAUUAUAUGCUUAUUUGCUUAAUUAUUAUGAUUUAAUUAAUUAAUAAUGAAAAUAAGCAUUGAAAAUAAGUAUUAGAAAAAGCCGAUAUCUUUUAAGAAAGUUGUAGUGGCCGAAACAAGGAUUCUGGAGAUAUAAAGAACGCCAAAAUCCGAGUUAUAACGAAGAAGUUAUGACCUGUCGAAGUUUCGCCACAAAACCGGCACGGCACCGAUAAGCGUAAAAAGUGGAUUUACAAUAAAGUGUUUUUUAGCCUUAACAAUCUAAACAAAAGUCAUAGUAUUCGUUAAGCCGAGAAUUUUGAUAAAAAGAACGUCCAAAUCUUACUUCAUAUGAGGAAGUUAUGAUUUUUCUAAGUUUUAGCUUAGUAGUAGACAGCUAAAUACUUGAAUUUAAGAUUGAGCGAUAUUUAGCCGAUACAACCUAAACGAGAAUCGAAGGUCUCGUCAAUAGUAGUACAACGGUAAAAAGACUAACAAAAACGGACAUCGGAUGAAGAAGUUAUGAUUUUUUAACGGAUUUUCCUGUCCCGGUCUGUUAAAAAUAUAAUAUUAAAAUUAAAGUCAAAAUUAGCCGACGAAGUCUAAACGAAAGUUGUAGAAUAUAUUCACGCCUACACGUGCAUAUAAAGAAUGUCAAAAAAUGGAGCUCGUAUGCGAAAGUUAUGAAUUUUAGAAGCUUUUGGUGCAAUUUUCGAAAAAUUCGCAUGGAUGAGAAGCAGCCACGUCACCCUCGCCUCGCGUACCGGAGCUGCUGCGUCACCGAGUCGUGGCCAAAUCCGAGACCAACGCAUGCCUUCUUCGUGUCAGCUUCUGAUAGGCCCGAAGCCGAGGUCCAAUAGAAGAGUUAAGCGCCUCGCAUCGGUGGUCCUCUCGAGCCUCGUUGGCCUUCGCUGCAACCGACUCGUGUUCGCUUCUCAACCUCUCACGUAGCUCGCCUCCGUGUCUCGCCCUUGCUGCUGCCACGCACUUCGCCCCCUCGCUGCCACGUCUUCCCUUCGUGUCCGAGCCUCACAGCCACUACGAGGAGCCUUCUCAACCGAUCAGCCCUCGGUCUCGCACCCUAUAAAUAAGGGGGUUGCGAGAUCUCCCGGGUACUAUUGGAAAAUUGACAUUUUUCACCCCUUGUGACAUCCCCAAAAUCACGGCCAGAAAAGACCGGUUUUGUUUAUACUUUAUUUCAAAAUCAAAGUAAUCUUUUAAUAAAAGAGUUGCUGAAUUUGUCCCAAAACAAUAUUAUGAUAAAGAUUUAUCAAAAGCAUUUCCUUAGAAAUGUAUUUCAUUAAAAAGACUCGGGAUGUCAUGUUCGAUACAUUACAUAAGUAUAAACAAUACAACAUAGGCCUUACUACAUUAUUUCAUAUCUGCAGGCCUAUAUCCGUAAUCCCUCGUCCAAAACAUCACAUCUAUGCUCAUGCGCCACUACCUGUAAUACAAGAAACUGAGUGGGUCAGACUUGGGAGCCUGGUGAGCACAUAGGGUUUUCAACCCACAAUAAAUAAGUUUAUUAACUUUAUCAAACCAAAUAAACCCGAUUACCCAUUCCCGUUAUCCUCACUUUACGUCCCUAAGACAUCUAACACAAGGGACCUAGUCUAAGGACGAUCAUCGGGAUGGACACUACUGCUACGGGGAUUCCUCAGCAAUAAAUGUCCUUAAGGUAACCAUGUGGGGGAUGGAGUACAUCUGGUGAGCAGACAGUUCAAUUAAACACAUAGUUCAAAUAAACACCUACAGGUUACGAGCCUACUAGCGUUCCACUGGACUGUCUAGAAUAGUCCGUGGUCAUCAUCUAUACUCCGCUAGAUGACUGGAUCAUGAAUAACAUCUAUAACGAGGCCUCUCAUUAUUUUAUUGUGUCACACAACAACUAUUACAUCUACCCAUGUUUUACCCAACACAUUUUGUAGAUAUAAAAUACAUAUACAGUUUAAAGGAUUGAAAACAUCUAUAAAACGUUCAUCCAGCAUAGAUAACAAGUAUUUAGAUAAUAUGCACACAUAGCACGUAAUUUAUAUAAAAUACUUCAUAUCUAUGUGUAAGCUGAAAGUAACUAUGCACUCACCUGAAAAGGUGGUGAUUCCGAACUCAUACAGCGCUUCGCUUCCUAAAAAGAAUUUCCUUCGACGAAACCUAGUAUUAUUACCACUAGAGUUUAGUCUAUUAUUCGCCGAUACUAAUUAAUAGUCUAGCUAUUAUUACUAUUAUAUAAGCGUUAAAAAAAUACUUAUAUAACUCAUAAUAAUAGCCCAAGUAUUUAUUAUAAGUUCCUAAUAACGUUACUAUAAUUAAAUAAAAGCUAUAUUAAAAAUAGCGUAGGCGUAGCUCACUUACAGCGGGUUUUAUAGAAAACUAGGCUUUGCUUGGAGCAGCUUUUCCGAGCCGAAAAGCUCUUCUUCUCAGCGCUGUCGAGCACUCCGGGGCUUCCGCCUCAUGCUAGGGAGGUUCCCUAGGCUUUUCGGGGGAUUUCGGGGCUAGAGAGAGAGAGAGAGAGAGAGAGAGAGAGAGAGUAAAGAGAAGAAAGAAUGAGAAAGGUGUGAAGAAAAUGAAGGUGGGAGAGGUGGUAUUUAUAGGGUGAAAAUUGGCUGAACUUGGUGCCACAUGUCACCAUCUAGUGGCAAGACUUGGGGAGAAAGCAAUGGCUAAGAUUGUGCCACAUCACCCAUUUUCGCACAACACACUUCCAACUUCUAAAAUCCUUAACAUUCACAUACGAUCUCCGUUUUUGACGUUCUUUACAUCCACGCGUAGGUAAUAAUAAGAUCUACAACUUUCAUUCUGACUCCGUCGGUUAAUUCGCGACCGAUCUUAAAUUUAACAGUACAAGGAGAUUAUACUGUUAAACGUUCGCGUAAAAUUCAUAACUUCUACAUACGGACUCUAUUUUCAUCUGUCUUUUUACCAUUGAUUUCCUAUUAAUGAGAUCUUCAACUCUCAUUUAGGUCGCUUAAGCCAAAACCACUCGAACUAAAAUUCGAGUUUCGGGCUGUGCACUGCUAAGCCGAAUCUUAGAAAAAUUAUAACUUCUUCAUACGAAGUCAGAUUUGGGCGUUCUUUUUAUGGAUAUUCUCGGUUUAACAUAUUAUACGACUUUCGUUUAGAUCACUAAGGCUAGAAAUUCUUCCAUCAUAAGUUCACUAUUUACAUCUCCCGGUGCCGUGCCGGUUUCGCCGUAAAACUUCGGCGGGCCAUAACUUCUUCGUUAUAACUCAGAUUUCGGCGUUGUUUAUAUCCCUGGAAUCCUUGUUUCGACCACUACGACUUUAUGUAGAGAUAUCGGACUUAUUUCACACUUUAUUUUUUGACGCUUAUUUUUAUUCUUUAUUAAAUAUAUAUUUAUAAUAUAGUAACAAGCACACAAAUACACAUAAUUCACAUAGAAUUAAAAUAUUUCAUCUUUAUUACAUCAAAAAGAGUUACAAUAGUUGACCUAGACUGUUACAUCGUCUAAAAAUGCUUAGCCUCGAAACCCGGGCGUUACACCCCUAAACUUAUAUUUUGACUAUUUUGACUUCCCCCCCGAAGCCCCGGUAUCAUUUUCAAAGCCCGGAAUACGUCUCGAAGUGCCCGAAUACCCAGAAGAUUUUAUCUUUUCUGUUUUGAAGCUCCAACCCUCGCAGAGCCCGAUUUCUCAAUAAAACUCCCAGUUUUAUCAGAAACGAUCAUUUUAAGAAACGAAUUGCUGCCCGAUUAUCAUCAAAUCAAGUGAGUGUAUAGUCACUUUCAUCUUACACAUAGAUAUGAAGUAUUUUCUAUAAAAUAUGUGUUAUGUGUAAUUAUAUUGAUUGUUUAUUUGAGAUGACUGUUGAAUAAAUGUUUUAUAAAAGUUAUAAACUGUAUAUGUAUUUUUAUCUACAAAUAUGUUGGCUAAAACAUGGGUAGACGAAAUAGUUGAUAUGUGUUAAAAUGAUGAGAGGCCUCGCUGUUGUUGUUGUUCCAUUCAUCUAGCGAAGUAUGGAUGACGACGACGGACUCUUCUAGACAGUCUAGUGGAACGCUAGCAGGCUCGCAACCUGUAGGUGUUUGUGGGCUUGAUGUUCACUGGUGUACUCNACAUCCUUUACCUAAUUACCUUCAAUUUCUCAGCAGUCUCGUGGACUAUCUUGGGGCCCAUAAACUGCUUCUCUCCGGCUUCAAGCCAACAAGACGGCGUACGAUACUUCUGUCCAUACAAGGCUUGAUAAGGUGCCUACUUGAUGCUCGAGUGGAAACUGUUGUUGUACGAAAAUUCUACCAAAGGUAAGUGCUCGUCCCAGUUCCCUUNAAAUAGGGUUAUUGUUGGUUUGACAAAAUUAAUAAAUUUAUUGUUGAUCGAUGAAAUUAAUAAAUUUAUUAUUAUUUGUGGGUUGAAAACCCUAUAUGCUCACCAGGCUCCCAAGCCUGACCCACUCAGCUUUCUGUUUUACAGGUAGUGGACUCAGAGCNUUUUUGGAUUAUAGGCUAGUAGUUGUAAAUAACUGUUGUAAGGCUUAUAAUGUACUGUUUAUGCUUUUGAUCUGUAUCAAAUAUGACAUCCCAAGUUUUUUUAAUGAAAUACAUUUCUACGGAAAUGCUUUGAUAAAUCUUCAUCAUAUUUUUAUUUUAGGAACAAAUUCCUCAACACUUUUAUGUAAAAUAUUACUCUGAUUUUCAAACAAGCAUAAACAAAAUCGGUAUUUUCUGGCCGUGAAAUUGGGGAUGUCACAUUGUACACUUCACAUCGUCUUUUACUUAUUUUGAAAACCAUUUAAAAAAAUCAUUUCGAAAAUAUUUUUCCUUAGUUUGAGACUGGAUUCACACGAGUGUUCCUCCAAUUCACUCAAACCAAGGCUCUGAUACCAACUUAUAAAACCCACAAAAUUUGAGCCAAUUUAAAACUUUUUAAAUCAUUUGAAACGAUUCAAUUAUUACAAUUUGUUUUCAAAAUAGUUUAUACAUUAGAGUUCCCAGAAAUCAUAAUCAUCAAUCGAGGAAGUGUACGGUCACGCCUUCGCCUACCCGCGACCAUCCGCUGAACCUGAAACAAUAAACUGAAACUAUAAGCCCGAAAGCUUAGUGAGUUACCCUCCAAAAUACCAACCUCAUAUAACCAUAAUCAUAUCAUAUCAACAAAUACAUAACAACCAUGCAUCUCGAGUCUAUAGUGUGACUAGUCCGCCCACACUAGACCUUCAGUCCACUUGGUCCACUCCUUGAGUCUACAUUUUGACUGGACCGCUCGCACUGGGCCUUUAGUCUAUCUAGCCCACUCUUUGAGCCUCGGCAUGUCUGCACCGCCCUCUCGGGGACUUCCGCCUAUCUGGACCGCUCGCUGGGCCUUCGGCCUGACCGUGUGCCCUCCCGCGUCUGCAGUCUAUACGGUCCACCCUAGGUAUGUUGGCCUAUAGCACGAAGCAGGACCCGCCUCAACCUAACCCCCAAUCAAAAACCAUGUGCACAUAUAACAGAUAAUCACAUAACAGUCUAUAGCCAAACAAACCGAUCAAACAGAUCAUAUAUGUGACAUCCCCAAUUUCACGGCCAGAAAAGACAGAUUUGUUUAUGCUUUGUUUUAUAAAUCAGAGUAAUCGUUUAAAGAAAACGGUUGCAGAAUUUGUUCCCAAAACAAGAUAUGAUAAAAACUUAUCAAAACAUUUCUCAAAGAGAAUGUAUUUUCAUUAAAUAAUAAAACCUCGGGAUGUCAUGUUCCGAUACAGACACAUAAGCAUAAACAGAACAUACAUUCAUUUACUCUAGUGAUUUACAUCUCCUUUAAUCUCUCAAUGCAAAGCAGCUUCGUAUCGAUACCUGUGAUACAAUUAAACUGAGUGGGUCAGGCUUGGGAGCCUGGUGAGCAUAUAGGGUUUUCAUCCCACAAUGUUAUAUCAUAUAAAUAUAUAUAGAACAUCCAAAAUUAUAUAAUUUCACCAUAUAAAAGCAACUCUUACCCCACCCCAUCGAUCCUCACAACGCCACGAUCUAAACUCUCGUAUCUAAACUUUUCCUCUUUAUCUGAUCCCUACUCAUGGAUCUAAACUAAUCUAUCCACCCGAUCCAUACUCUUGGACCUAAAACUAACCUCUUGGUCUAAUCCAUACUCCCGGAUCUAAACUAAUCUCUUGGGCUGAUCCAUACUCCCGGAUCUAAAAGUGUGCCCAAUCCAUACUCCUGGACUAGGGACAAUUAACUAUUUCUUAAUCCAUACUCCCGGAUUAAUAACAAGUUUACCUAUUGGUUUGAUCUAUACUCUCGGAGCUAAAACUAUGCCCAAUCCAUACUCCCGGACUAGGGACAAUUUACUAUACCUAAAUCCUGUUCUGAUCAAUACUCCCGGAUCUAAACUGUGCCCAAUCCAUACUCCCAGACUAGGGAUAAUUUACUAUGUCUUAAUCCAUACUCCCGGAUUAAUAACAAGUUUAUGUCUUUUCCUAUUCCAUAUUCUCGGAUCUAAAUCCAAUCUCUUGAUCUAAUCCAUACUCACGGAUCUAAAACUAACCUCUUGAUCUAAUCUAUACUCACGGAUCUCAUCUACCCAUGUCCUACCCAACGUAUUCAUAGAUACAAAAUAUAUAUAUUGUUUAACUCAUUAAAGCCUAUAUAGUUCAUCCAUUCCAUACACAUCUCAAAUAAACAAACAAUAUAUAAACACAUAACACAUAUUUCAUAACAAAUACUUAAUAUUUAUGUGUUAGAAGAAAGUGAGAACACACUCACACAUAUAAAUAUCUUUAUAUUAUACAAAUAGCAUGUAUUUCAUAGCAAAUACUUAAUAUUUAUGUGUUAGAAGAAAGUUACCACACACUCACUUGAUCAGAAGAUGAUCGGACAGCACUACGGCUUGUAGAAAUAGUAUUCUUCGGUGAAACUGGGAUCACUUCACACACCGGGUUUCUCGCGGGCAAAGCUUCGGCUCGGAAACUCUUUUCUUCUCGGGAUCUUCGGGCUUCGGGACUUGCUUCUGGUCUCGGGGUCGAUACUGGGUGUAUUGGGAGUGGGAGUGAAGGGAUGGAGCAAUCAUAGUCGACUGGCCCUUCAAAUCUAUUUAUAGGGCAAAUUUGGCCCUUGCCACGUCGUGGCACCCUUUUUCAACAUCGUGGGCUUGGUCUUCAUUGCAUGCGUCAUCACAAGUUGCAUCUGGGGGACUCCCAGAGGUGUCAGGAGACUUGCCACGUGUGGCACUGCUUUCCACGUCGUGGUCUCUAACAGUUUUCGGGUUUCGCGCCCCGAACUUCAGAAAUUCAUAACUUUUGCAUACGAACUCCGUUUUCGAUGUUCUUUAUAUCGACGUGAAUGUGAGAUUAUACUCUACAACUCUCGUUUAGACUCCAUUGGCUGAUUUUGAAUUUAUUUUUAAUGUAUUAUAAUUAUAUUACUUAUAUAAUAUCUUUAGUAGGUCGGGAAAGGAAAACUCCGUUCGAAAUUCAUAACUCCUUCAUCUAAAAUUCGUUUUCGUCUGUCCUUUUAUCGUUGGACUACUAUCAAAGAAAUAUUCGACUCUCGUUUAGAUCACUAAGGAUAGAUAUCUAUCUACCUUAAAUUCACUAUUUACGUCGCACUGGGUCGCGCUGGGUCAUGCCGGUUCUGUCGCGAAACUUCAACAGGUCAUAACUUCUUCGUUAUAACUCGGAUUUUGGCGUUCUUUAUAUGCACGGAAACCUUGUGACAUAUACUACAACUUGGUUAAGAUUAACCCUUCUAAAUAAUCUUCCAUCAAAAAGUCAUUUUUGAUGCUUAUUGUCUCUAAAUUGACUAGCCCGGAUCUACGGGCGUUACAAUUAUCUCCCCCUUAGGAUGAUUACGUCACGGAAUCAUCAAAGAAAUAGGAAUUGCAUAAUAAUUCCACACGUUAUCUCUUCAUCCUAGGUAAUAACCGUAACUUCUAUGUUUCCUCGAUAGAAUAUUUAACUCUAUGGUUUUCUUGACCGCGGACGAUGCCCAAUCUUGCAUCUGCAUAUCGUACUAUGUUGUACUUUCAAUCAUAACUUCCAAGUUGCAAAAUAAGUCCUUAUUGUGGAAUCCUUCUUCUUCUCAGGAUAAAUACUUUCCUUUAUCUAUUGUAACAGACCGAUGGGUCGUGUUCUAAUGACCUCUCAUCGUAUGAUGCAACGUUUAGACUCAAGUCUCUUAGAGUCAAAUUCUAGAAUGGAAUAUACCUUCUUUCAUAUUCUAACGUGAUAUAAUCACAUUUUUACAUGUAGCAUUUCUAGCUACAAGCUUCCUUACCAACAAGUGUGAUGCUAUCGAUUGCAUUGAUUUCAAUCUUUUGACUUAGGUCAGAUGUUACAUCGAACUUGGUUCCAUGAACCACGUAACAAACUCCUCGUAGUCGGACUCAAUUUGAUAUGACCACUAGGGUCGGAAUAACAACCAUCUUACUAGUCACUACCGAAAUAAGGGUAAUGACACACUUGAACAAAACGGAAUCAGUUACUAGCUUCUUGGUAACCUUGUGACUUUCGCUGAUCCAACUGCGAGUCUUGUGCUUCCGGUAGUAUAUGCAUCUACUACCUUUCACACCUACUCACACUCGUCCCAAGUAUUCUCCUGCAGUCGACCAAGUCUGUAGCACCUGGUUCCUGGUACGUAAAUCUUAUUUGAGUAUUUUCCAUUUUAAGCCUUGGACUCAACGAGUCAUAGGUCCGACUCGCCGAGUAGGGACGGGAACCGAGACACGUUUAAGUUGGCGACUCGGCGAGUCCAUAUCCUGGACUCGGCGAGUGACCGCUGUUGGAUGAAACCCUAAGUUUCAGGGGUUUGCACCCAAUUUAAUCCCUCUUUCCGCCCCAAGCCAACCCCCAUUCAACCCCCAGAAGCUCUCCAUACGUUCUAGCUCUUGUUCUUGUGAGUUUGAGGCAUCUUUGUGUGUAUUCUUGAAGAUUUUGAGAAGGAAGUGGAGUAGAUCAAGAGGAAGGGAAGGAAGCCAAGCAUCUUAGUAUUCUCUCAGUGAUUUCCUUGAGGUAAAACUCGUUUUCCCCUGUCUCUAUGCUUAUAACUCCAUUAAAGUCUUCCUUGAGCCCUUCCCCAAGCUUGUAUUUGCAUCAUAUUUUGAAAUAAGUUGAUUGGCCUCUAGAUCCAAGCAUGGUUGAGCUCUAGGAGCUCAGAUCUACUACCUUUAUGGACCCAUAUUGCAUGAAAACCUUAGAUCUACUCUUUUGGUGCAUUUUGAACCCUAAAACCCCCAUAGAUGGAUAUUUACACGUAAAGUUGGAAACUUUACGUGUUAUUAACUAGAAAAAUAGCUUUUUACGACGCGCAAUCUACGACACUCAGUGAUUUAUGUUACGCAGAAGGGAGUGACCUUAAAAUGGUGUCGUCUCUUCAAAAAAUUUAAGCAUUUAGGUCACACAUUAUUGCGUGCCCUUAGAUUAUUGUCUUAAUGAAAAAAAUCAAAAACACGGAGGGCACAUGUGUGUCAUCUAAGGAUGUCGCUUUAUAAAUUUUAGUGGAAGCGUGCGUUCCAUCCUUUUUAAUAGCAGGGGGAAAUGAAAUCCUAAAAAAUUAAAAACCUUGCAUUUCAUCCAUCUUUUAGGGAUUCCGUGUAAACCCUGGACCUCAUUUGAAGGUUUCGUUCUUAGUCAAGUUGUUUCUGUUCGGGAAGGAAUAACGAAUUCAUCCUCUCCACCAGCCGACAAGCUCCACUCUUUGCUUCACCUUUUCUCUGUAAACUCUAGACGUCAUUAUGCGGCUGCAACUCUUCCUCCCUUUCGUAUUUUUGGAGCUUGGCAGGCAUACAUUGGUCAACGAUGUCAACUAUCCUCUUUUAUCCACCAUUUUCUCCCUCUGAGACAUUAAAGACACGCCAUCCCAAAAUUGGAAGAACUAGGGCUUUUGUGCUCUGGAUCUCACAGGAAACAAGUUUGCCUCGUCCCCACCCUCACCCAUCCAAAUUCCUUCUUCUUCAAAUGAUUAUAUGUUCUUACCUCUCAACCGUACCUGAAUCAAUAUAUAUGUCUCUCUUGUGUCUAUUCUCUCAAUAUCUCUCGCGCUUUCCUAUUUAUAGCUAGAGUUUGAGAGUGAAAAGAAAAAAGAAGAAAGAAAAGAUGUGCCUAUUAUAUUCCUCUUUCUCCCUCUUUUCUUCCUCUGGUUCGAUCAAAGCCCUUCUUCUCCCUUCUUCUUCUUCUUAUUAUUUUUUUUGAUUUCCAGGUGAGGUUGCGUUUGAAGGUUGUCAAGGGGUUAUGAGGAGAAGGGAGAAGAAGGGUUGUGAUCUCUUCUUAUGAAAGUGGCGAUGAAUCUACCACGAGGCGACACAAAAGCAACUAGACUCAUCCACAUCGGCGAAGAAGGGAAAAGAGGAGUUCUAAAAGAGAGAAAGAGAAAAGGAGAGAGAGGCGGAAGAUAAAGAAAAAAGAUUAAGUGAUAAAGAUAGAAGGAAAAUGAGCAGGCGCCGGAGAUCAAAUUGAGAGGCAAAAGGAGGGGUUCAGAUUCAGAAGACUUCAUCGUUUUAAUUUCAUCUUCAUUGAGUACAAGUCGGCGUUGAUUGGGUCAUACAAACUGACGUGGCAACUCAUUCCUUAAUAUCAAUGCGCCAUCACACCCCUAAAUCUCGAUUUCACAGACACCUAUCUUUGAUUUUUUUGUCUAUUCCUUUUUUCCUCCUUUUUGAAUCCCUUUCUAUUGCGUUACAACAGAAACACAUUUUCAAUUCCGAAGAAACCCCUAAAUAUGACCUAGUCGGCAUGUUUAAGACGAUGAUUCUAAUGAUACCAUCUACUGAGGAAGAAGAAAGGAAAAAUGAUGAGGCAUCGUAACAUCAUCAUUGACCACCAUCCACAUAUUCUCCCUAAGUCGAAACCCUAAAUAUUGUGGUGGUAGGUUUGACAGUGGCAAAGAUGGAGACAUCAAAGUGCUUGUUAAUGGGUUUAACGAUAAAUCUAGUACGCCCAUGAGAGGUUCCCCAUACCACUAUUUCCUUCGGUUUUCUAUCUUUCUUAUAUAUAAAUUUCUUUUUGAAAUUGCAGGUUUUGUUUGUUAUAUGUUGAAAUCGCCCCCACUUUUGAUGUUUUCUCUUUUGUAAAUAUGGCCGAAGGGAAUGGGUCUCAAAUUCUUAUGAAAGCUCGAUUUCCAUGGGAUUUAUGGAGUAUAAACUCUCAUACAAGUUCUCGUAUCCCGCACACCAAAAGAAAUGAGUAGACAUAUGCUUUUUGUUUCUCUACCCCAUUCUAUAAAGUUUUCUAUAUUUUAUUUAAAUUUACUAUCCACCAAGAAUUCCAAAUGUGAUUUUUUAGGGAGGGGGUUUGAACGUGUGAUGAUAUUAGGGAUUACAAAGAACAUGAUAUAAGGGAUAUGGUAGUUGCUCAAUGUCUUGGAUAUCUAUGAUUUUAUACCUCGCUCACAGGUAUCCAUCUUAAAACUCAUUAAAUUUAUAACUUUGUUUGGACAAUGUUCUUUUCUAUGAUACAGUUGGACUCAUAUUCCAGGUUCAUCAUAAUAAUUGCCUUUAUUAACUAUUAUAUCUCAUCCAAGUUUUCUUGACAAGAACUAAGUUAUAUAUAGGUUAAGUUGAGUCUGGAGAGUUUGUUCCAUGAGAGUCCAUUUAUUUCUCAAUUUUUUGGGCACCACUACAUUUGGUGAUUAAAGUGAUACAAUAUGUUUUACCUUUCCUGUAUUUUCUAUGAGAUCGAAAUAGCUGAUGCGCAUAUAUAAGGAAGUCGUUGUAAUGUUUUUAUGCUCAUUAUUGCUUUAAAUUAAGAAACACACUUAUCAUGAUAUCUUAUGUUGUUGACCAGUGUGGAGUUAUUAAUUCUAAGGACAAGUGUGGGACUCCGGUUAAUGAAGGUCCACGAUUCUUUUUUGNCAUCGAGUGUGUACCUUUAGAAAUAGUGAAUAUGUGAAAGGAGGCUUAGGUCAGUUAGAGCAAUGGUGAACUCAGAUCACAACAGAGGUAAAUGUUGAAGUUUUUUUUCUUAUUAUAAUGUCUUAUGAUAAGUUUUUUCUUAAUUAUAGGUUUCAUGAGUGUAGUACACUGAUAAAAUGUUAGGGUUAUUUUUAUUGUUAAUGUAGCAGUGUGAUAGUAUGAUUAUGUAGUUCCAGGUAUAGAGAUGAAUACAGGGGCUACAGGAGGAGAAGUCACAGCAGAAGCAAGGACAUAUAUUAUGGAAGGGACAAAGACAGUAGGAGUAGGAGCCCUGAUUAUCAUAAAAGACAAAGAAGUAAAUGCCCUUAUCAUUGAUAUCUUCAAAAACAAGUAUUUGUCUAUUAUGUAUUUACAAUAAGUUAUGUUGCAUAUAAAGAAACAAAUAAAGGUAACUAAAGGGAGUUUAUAGUAAAUUAACAAAUUGAUCAUUGAUCUAAAAUAUUUUAAUUUUGCUAUACAGGUGAGAAACCUACUUUUAACCAAAUGCCUCGUUUGUGGUCCCCUCUUCUGACUUUCUGCUUCCUAAACACGGUUGCAAUCGCAUACACAGCCACAACUGCACUACCCUUUGGUACAAUUGUUCUGAUUGUUUUGAUAUAGAGUUUGGUGACAUCACCUUUACUGGUUCUCCGAGGUAUUGCUGGAAAAAAACAGCAAAGCUGAAUUCCAAGCUCCUGUUCGCACCACAAAUGAAAUGAGCUGAUUCCAGAAGCCCUGUGCAGCGUUUUGAUUCCGAUGUAAUGACCAAAACUGAAUUCAUAGUUUGGUGAAAGGGAUCCAUUCAUUAUAUUCAAACUUUUACCUCUUGCUAAAAGUGCAAAAUUGUCAUACUUGAGGAAACAGACUUAGUAAAGAGUCAAAACGAGACUAAAUUAUGAUUUUACCCCUGUUAAAAAAACAAAUUUCUUGAUAUUCAUCAAUCUCAACGUGGAAGCAGUUGAGAGGUAAAAUGAAUAAGAGCAAAGAAGUAAAAUGUUAGUGUGUUAAUGAGUUUUAGUUAACCCAUGAUGAGAACGAAAAAAAUAGUUUUUUUUUUAUUUGUUACACAAAAUUUAUGUUUUUUUUGGGAUACUUUGGAGGAUUAGGACGAGAAGGGCAUUUGUGCAAGGGUAAAAUUCAGGCACACUGCAGGACCAAAAAGCAAUGCCAGAAUCCGUGAGGAGGAGGUGACAUUAUACUUGUUUUUUUUAUACUUUUUAAGGUUAUUCCUUGUAGAAAAUACUAUCAUAAUGACCAUUAUGCCCUUUUAAACCGUGACAGAAGGCCAAAAGGCCUGAUGGGCAGGAACCUCACAAGCAGAACUAUUUAUAUUGACUCGUACACUUAAAAAUGGAAAACCUGUGAAUGAAGCCACAGCUACUGUAAUUGUAUGAGUUCAUUUAUUUAUUUAUCUAUUGUGUUGAAAAUUAAUUAUUAUAAUUUUGGGUUAACACCAAACUUGGCCAACUAACUAUUUUAGAUGUCUCUAAAACACCAAUUUACACAUUUUCUACAGCAAGAGGUAAAUAAACAUGAAAUUUUGUCUCAAAUUGGUCCCUGUAAAUUUCUCUUUUAUAAUCUUGACCCAAGUUUUAUUAUGAAUUAUCGGGAUAAUGACUAUCAUAUUUGCUGUCCUUGGGCGAACUUUUUACUAUAUAGAAGAAAUCCUUCCCUUUAGGUUCCUUUUCUCCUUAAUUGAUGGUAAUUAAAUCCAUUUUAUUCGUUCAUCCUAAUAAUAUAUUAUCUUGAAUGCCAGAUUCGGUGACAUGGACCUUCAUCUUGAUGAUAGUGUUACAACAUUGCUUCAAUGUUACUUUAAACUGUCGGCUAUUAAGUUGUUUAUAACGAUUUGAUUUCUGUAAACUAGUAAGUUUUUCCGUAACUUGAUAAUUUCUAAACAUGGAUUGUGUAGGUGUAUUGUUCUUGAAACUUGAAAGUUUCUUUUCCUAUUUAUAGAAAAACAAGGAUCGAACACUCUGUCAGUUGGUCAAGAUUCACCUACUGAACCCUUAAGUUCCUAGUUUUGUUUUUAUGAUACAAAUUAUACCCACUACAAAGUAUUGUUUGCCAACUCUUCCUGCAUCCCCAAUCAUAUCAUCUAUAAGCACAACAUUUUUAUUCAUAUGUUGAAAGAAGGACAUGGCAUACAAUAUCCCUAGACAAUAUAGUUGUUAUUUAUGCUUUAAAGUGAUUUCAUCUUACACUUUUCUUCAGGAACAAGAAUAUUAAAGCGGUGGAGUGAAGAAGGUAAGUAGGUGAAGGUGCCCUAUCUGUGAUGGGCCCAUGCCCAAUGGAUUUAUCCAACAGUAAUCUGUAUAGUAGGAGUGGGAUUCUGACUGCAGCUAGCACAAUCAUUAGCACUUUUCUUUUAGUGUUUGUAGAUGAAUAGGGUGAUAAAUCAUUUUUCUCUACAAUUGGUAAGUAAUUGGUCUUAAAGAAUUAAAAAUUUUGUUUGAAAUUACUACUUAAAAACUACAAAAAUAUAACCAUUCUUUGUUAUUCUUAAGCUAAAUUAAGAUUUAAGACGUUGUGUUUGUUCAGCUUGUACUGCAGCCUUGUCACCCCUUGGUGUCAUUGGUGUGGCCUAGCUGGUCAUGGACUUGCAACUCUGGUAAUUUAUUAAUUUAUAUCAUAUUUUAUUUUAUUUUUUGUGGUUUAUUAAACUGAAGAAUAUUAAUUAUUUGUGGUAUAUAAUGAAACCAAUUCUUGCAGUUAGCUGUUCUUGGAGGGUUCUUUUCCUUGUGUUGCAGCAAUGACAUUGGUUGAAAUUGUGAGUUAGAAUCUGUUUCUUUCUUUCCUCCAAUUCAGUUAUUGAACUUUUUCAUAAUAUUUUAAUUUUGUAAGGUGAUUGCUUCAUAUGAUUAUUAGCAGAUUUUUAGGGAUUUAGAUUCUACUUUUUUUUUUGGGUAGUUGCUAUUUAGAGGUUGAUGUUUCUUCUAACUUUCCUACAUACUGACAUACAUAUAUCCGUAUCUGAUUAUUUUGACCCAAAAUAAAUACAUUUUUGUCCCCCAAGUUUAGCUGAUUUUUUUCCAAGAACUUCUCGCAUGUCUAGUUAGACAAUUUGGGAAAUUUCAGAUCACAUUGGUGUAAAAUAGGUAAUCAACUUAAAAAUUUCUUAACAAAGCCAUUACCUUAAACAAUAACCACUAUUGUUGUUGCCGAUAUUGUUUCCUUCAUGUUGUUUUAAUGGAAUUCCUACCUCCAAGGUUGCUAUUAACAGAAGUUGAACUCCAUUAUAAAUUAUUCCAUGAGUUACUAUAUAUGUAUUAAAUUUUAAUACUUUAUAACAUAGAUUGAUGAUGCUUGAAGCCUUUCUGAAUACUAAUGUGUUGAUGAUGAAAACAGGUAUCAUGUGGAAACAAAAGCAUAACAAUACGAAGUAGAAACAAGAAGGUGUUCCUUAAUAGCAAUGUAAUUACUAUAUAGUCAUUCAAUGUAAUUACUUUUGCUCACUUGAUGUUAUCCAAUCAUGGUUUAUAUUUGUUUUAUCUUUCCAUGGAACGAUUAUUUCUAAGACAUUAAAGUUAUGUAAUGGACUCUAUUUUUUGUAUAUGAUAUUUUAUUUUCUAUUAUGAAACAUUAAAUACAAAUUUAAUUUGAAAAUAAGUAAAUCUAUAAAUUAUAUUUUUUUAAACAUUUAAAAUUAUGAUACGCAAAAAUGUGUGUCAUCUUCAUUUAUGAAAUGACCUUUCUUGACAGGGGCUUUCGUGAUACGCAUUGCGUGUCAUUAACACGCACGUCGUAAAGUUAUGACACACGAAUGCGUGUCGUCUUCCUUUAUGAUAGGGCCUUCUUUGAUACGCAUUGCGUGUCAUAAACGCACAUCGUAAAUGCGCGUCGUCUCUCUUUAUGACAUGGCCUUCCUUGACGCGCAUUUGCGCGUCGUCUGAGCCUUUUACGACACGCAAUGAACGUCGUAAAAGGCUGUUUUUCUAGUAGUAUAUUCAUGCUCUAGGAGCCCAGAUCUACGAAUGACAUGGACUGGAUUCAAGAAAAAUCACGUUUAUGGCUCUUGCAUGAAACAGACUCGGCGAGUCGCUCAUCUGACUCGGCGAGUCUAGUCGCAAGUCUCCGAGAUUGUCCCCUUUUUCCUGUGUCGAGUUGUGUAGUGAGUCCAGGGCGGACUCGUUGAGUUGGAAGCCAAAACUCACCCAUGAUAGAGCUCGGCGAGUCGAUGCCCAGACUCGGCGAGUUCAAGGCAAUCUCCUUAGAUCAAGAUCAGAUUCGGCGAGUUGUUCAUACAACUCGACGAGUCACAGUAUAACUUGUUCAUCAGAUGAAGAUGAACUCGGCGAGUUGUUCAUACAACUCGGCGAGUAGGAUGAAGGACUUGAACAUCAGUUUGGAAGGAGAAUUCGUCGAGUCAACGCCUAACUCGACGAGUAGCAACAGAAUCCAGGACAGUUGUUUGGACAUGGACUCGGCGAGNNNNNNNNNNNNNNNNNNNNNNNNNNNNNNNNNNNNNNNNNNNNNNNNNNNNNNNNNNNNNNNNNNNNNNNNNNNNNNNNNNNNNNNNNNNNNNNNNNNNNNNNNNNNNNNNNNNNNNNNNNNNNNNNNNNNNNNNNNNNNNNNNNNNNNNNNNNNNNNNNNNNNNNNNNNNNNNNNNNNNNNNNNCUCCGAGGUGAGUUACCUUCCAGUAGCGGUGGGUCUAAGGCCACAAUGUCGGCCCUCCAAUAGGAGGCGUAUGAUAGAUGAUUGUCUUUGUGAUAUCAUCUAGGUUUGCUACUACCUGAUAUGUUAUAUCCUAGCAUGAUAUGUUAUAUGUGAUAGUCGUAGAAUUCGGUUGUUAGGAUCGAAGGGUAGUCAGACACCCCAGAUACGUCUGACAGUAUAUUAUGAUAUGUUUGCAAGCUGGCUUGUUUUGUUAUAUGCGCUAGAGGUAGUAGCAGGGGACCAGUCCCCAAGUUCGGUUGUUAGGACCGAAGGGUAGUCAGACACCCCAGAUAUGUCUGAUAUUAUGUUUGUGUUAUGAUAUAUGUGAUGGUAGUAGUAGGGGUGAAAUAGUCCCCGAGGUUCGGUUGUUAGGACCGAAGGGUAGUCGGCACCCCAAAAUAGCUCGCAUGGGUAGGUCAGCACCCCAGAAUGGCUUGACACGGGUAAUCGGCACCCCAGAAUGGCCGUACCGAGUAGUCAGGCACCCCAGAAUAGUCUGGCAGUAUGUAUGUUAUGUAUUGUAUGGUAUGUGGUACGAUGGGGGAACUCACUAAGCUUUGUGCUUACAGUUACAGUUUUGGUUCUAGGUACCUCUUCAUCAAAGGGGAAGGAGCUGGCAUGGUAGCGGCACAUCAUGCACACACACUGGUUUCCGCAUUUAUUAGAUUUCUCUGGGAUUUAUACUCUGAUAUUUCGAUUGGUUGUAUGAAUUGGCUUUUAGACAUGGUUUAUGUUGUGAUGUGGUUUGAUCAAACAAUGUUUUCAUUUAUUAACGUUUUCUAAAGUAAUGUUUUAAAAACGAAAUUUUUGGACGUGAAAAUUGAGUCAUUACAAGUGGGUAUCAGAGCCCUGGUUUGAGGGAUUCGGACACACCUUCGGGGGUGUUUGAACUCAAAUCGAGGGGAUUAAAAGAUUUUGGAAAGAGAAAAUGUUUUCUAAAAGGCUAAGUAAAAGGGGUUUUAAGAAAGAGCGAAGUGUGUGAUAUGCACGACCGGCCGAGCUCAAGUAAGUAUUCCCCAAUGUACCCAUACAAGUUUAUUUAUGUUUAUCAGUUUCUAUAGAACAACAUGCUAGAAUAUGACUAAGGAUCUAGGAGUGAUGCCUUAUGUGCCUGCUUUAUGUGCUUCAAUAUAUGAAAGAGUUGCAUGCUAGAGUUGAGUAGACAGCAGUAGGGUAGCCUGUUUAGGUUAUUCCUGAUAGUACGAGUUUAGCAUUGUAUGCUAGUUCAGUUCUCUCUUCGAGGAUAAAGUUGCUUGAGAUUGUUUUCUUACGUCCAAAUGCUGUUUGUUUUGUGCUAUGUGGGACUUGAAGUGAUGGGAGUUAACUGUUAGGUGAAUACGUUAAAGUCACAUGUGAUCAGGGUUGAAUAAUCUCAGAGUGUUGGAUUUGACUCUAUUGCGUAGCUCUUGUUUGAGUCCUAACCGUUUUAGAGAUGAGUCCCUUACUCGAAGGAUUAUCCGAGCCUCGUCACAUGUGAUUGUAUUCAGGUAAUAGUUAGUUGGCAUCACCAAGAGGCCUUCAACAGCUGAGGAUUGGUUUGGGUGGAGUCGGAGGUUUCCUAGGGUAAGCCUAGGAUAAAGAGUAGCAGUGAUCAGCGGUAGUGGAAGGGACCUUAUUGAGUCAAGGCGGACUUUGGGGAAGGUACAGAUAAAUGUGGAAGGUAGUAUGGGCCCAUACUACUGAAAGCAUAGGAUCCGUACCCGAACCGAGGAAGGCUAAGAUAAGGCCAGGGAACUUGUAGUGAGUGGGAUCCCUCCAGGGGUAUCAGUAUCCCUAACAGUUGUUAUUUCUUGUAUUUCAGAAUGGUGGUACUACGCUCGAGGCCAACAGUUGGCAGUUCAGGAGAGGGGUCGGGUUCGGGAUCAGGUUCCGAGCCAGUAGAUGAGAGGUUACGUGAGUUCAUCAUGUCUGAGAUUACCAGAGGCAUCCUUGAGUCAACCCCAUUAUCUUCGGGUCGAUCAAGGAAAGGAUCAUCGAGUUGAUGGAGGAUCGCCUCAGGUCGUUCAGGAGCGACAUGGCAUCUGGCCAGUCGGGAUCUCACACGCUGUCCUUUAAGGACUUCAAGGGCAGUGGUGCGCCGGACUUCCACGGGGUGAAGGACCCCAUUGUUGCUAGGCGAUGGAUUGCAGACAUCGAGUCUGUGCAGUUGACUAGCUUCUGCCCCGAGGGGUCGAAGGUGAGGUAUGCAGCAGGGUGUUUACGAGGCCGAGCUUGAGAUUGGUGGGAGUUAGUGGGUGACUCUCUAGGAGCCUCAACUAUCGAGGCUAUGACCUGGUCGGACUUUGUGACCAGGUUUAGGGCAGAGUUUGCGCUGGCUGUCGAGCUUCAGCAGCUGGCCAGGGAGUUUUUGGACAUGAGACAGACGACAGAGACCGUAGCGGAGAUCACCGCCAUGUUCCGGGAGAGGGCGCUGUUGGUGCCCCAGUAUGCGGGCAAUGAGGACAUGAGGAGGACCCGCUACCAUGACAUGCUUCAGGCUGAUAUCCGGGAGCACGUUAGUUUUUCAGCCUACCCCACCCUGGACUCUAUGAUUUCCAGGGCGAGGGAGAGGGAGAUAGAUUUGGAGCACAUCUAGAAACGAAAAUCGGAGGAGGGACAGACAGGAGGGGCUUCGAGGAAGAAGCCCAAGGGAUCAAAUGGUAGGCCGAAAGGCCAGUCCGGACCGAGCCGCUGCAGGAAAUACGGCAGGCCGCACGAGGGGGCGUGCAGGAUAGGAUCAUCAGGCUGCUACAAGUGCGGCAAGACUAGGCACNNNNNNNNNNNNNNNNNNNNNNNNNNNNNNNNNNNNNNNNNNNNNNNNNNNNNNNNNNNNNNNNNNNNNNNNNNNNNNNNNNNNNNNNNNNNNNNNNNNNNNNNNNNNNNNNNNNNNNNNNNNNNNNNNNNNNNNNNNNNNNNNNNNNNNNNNNNNNNNNNNNNNNNNNNNGGCAGAGGCUCCAUUGGUGAGGAGCCGGGCGUUUCAGCUGACCACCGAGGAGGCACGCGCAGCACCCGAUGUGGUGACGGGUAUGAUUCUUACCCUCUCAUUUAUUUAUAUGAUGUUAUGAUAUUGAUAUAUGCUCGGUAUAUGUAUAUGUGUUAGGAUCGUUCCAUGUGAACGGUAUCCCAGUUCAGGUGUUAUUCGACUCGAGUGCAGCUCGAUCAUUUGUGUCCCUUGCUCUUAGCAAGAAGUUUCCUGAGUCUUUGGGCAUGUUGGAUUGCUCUUUAGAGGUAGAGAUUGCCGACGAUCGAUCAGUGCGAGCAUCAGCAGUGUUCAGGGAUUGUAUUUUGAGGUUAUUUGAGGAGCGUUUUCUGGUGGACUUGGUUCCCAUUCCGUUGUGUGGGAACAAGGUGAUUAUAGGCAUGGAUUGGUUGAGCCCCAAUGGGGCGGUGAUAGAUUUUGCGCAGCAGCUAGUGCGAGUCAGGACCCCAAGUGGGGGAGAGUUAGUGAUUCAGGGCGAGAGGCCAUAGUGUGGACCCACAGUAUGUUCAGCAGCGAGGGCUAGACGAUACCUUCAGCAGGGAUGCGCAAGUUAUGUUGCGUAUGUGAUGGAUACCCGAGAGGCGGGUAAGGCAACAGUGAGCGAGGUUCUAGUGGUGCGAGAUUUCACAGAUGUGUUCCCGGAGGAGCUUCCUGGGAUACCUCCGGAGCGACAGGUGGAGUUCAGGAUUAACCUCGUUCCUGGUGCGGCUCCGAUAGCCAAGGCACCAUAUCGGUUGGCUCCUCUUGAGAUGCAGGAGUUGUCUACCCAGCUGCAGGAGCUGCUAGACAAGAGAUUCAUUAGACCGAGCAGUUCACCCUGGGGAGCCCCGAUUCUAUUUGUGAAGAAGAAGGACGGGUCGCACCGGAUGUGUAUAGAUUAUUGGGAGUUGAGCAAGGUAACGGUGAAGAACCGUUAUCCACUCCCGAGGAUUGAUGAUCUCUUUGACCAGCUUCAGGGAGCAUCUUGGUUCUCCAAGAUUGAUUUGCGUUCGGGUUAUCAUCAGAUGAGGGUCAGGGAGAUACGCAGAAGACCGCGUUUCGGACGCGCUAUGGCCACUAUGAGUUCGUGGUGAUGCCGUUUGGGCUCACCAAUGCUCCUACCGCGUCCAUGGACCUCAUGAACCGCGUAUGCAGAUCGAUGCUGGAUCGGUCUGUGAUAGUCUUUAUCGACGACAUCUUGGUUUAUUCCAAGACGUAGGAAGAACAUGAGGAGCAUCUGAGAGAGGUAUUGGAAACCUUGAGGAGAGAGAGCUUGUAUGCCAAGUUCUCCAAGUGUGAGUUUUGGUUGCGCGAGGUGCAGUUUCUCAGACACCUUGUCAACCAGAACGGGAUUCUGAUCGAUCCGGCCAAGGUCGAGGCUGUGAUGAGAUGGGAGGUUCUGAAGUCUCCAUCUGAGACUCGGAGUUUCCUAGGAUUGGCAGGCUAUUAUCGGAGGUUCAUUCAGGAUUUCUCCAAGAUAGUUGUGCCCCUGACACGGUUGAAGAAGAAAGCCGUGGUCUUUCGGUGGGGACCCGAGCAGUAGGCAGCGUUUGAGACACUGAGGCAGAGAUUGUGCGAGGCGCCGAUCUUAGCCCUACCAGAGGUUGAAGAGGAUUUUGUGGUUUAUUGUGACGCGUCUAUUUCUGGGUUGGGCGUGGUAUUGAUGCAGAGGGGGCAUGUCAUUGCCUACGCUUCGAGGAAGCUCAAGCCUCACGAGGCGAACUACCCGACGCAUGAUUUGGAGUUGGGGGCAGUGGUUUUCGCCCUCAAGAUUUGACGGCAUUACCUCUACGGGGUUCGGUGUACCAUUUACACAGACCACAAGAGUUUGAGGUACCUCAUGGAUCAGCUGAAUUUGAACAUGAGGCAGCGUCGGUGGUUGGACGUGGUGAAGGAUUAUGAUUGUGAGAUCCUUUACCACCCGGGAAAGGCCAAUGUGGUUGCCGAUACACUUAGCCGCAAGGCGACGCCGAUCAGGGAUAUUUGCAUGAGGAUGACUGUAGUGACUCCCUUGUUGGAGCAGAUUCAGGAGGCUCAACAGGAGGCUAUCAAGGAGGAGCAUCGAAAGAGUGAGCGUGUGGUGGGUUAGGUUUCCUCNUGAUAGCCGAGGACUAUUGACACUACACCGUAGGGUGUGGGUGCCGUAUUACGGAGGCGUGCGCCAGAUCUUGAUGGAGGAGACACACAAGUCUCGAUUCUCUAUUCAUCCUGGGGCGAAGAAGAUGUAUAGGGAUCUUCGACUAGAUUAUUGGUGGCCCUGCAUGAAGCGGGAUGUGGCAUGGUACGUCGAUCGGUGCUUGACCUGCAAGAAGGUCAAGGCCAAACAUCAGAGACCGCAUGGGAAGACGCAACCGUUGGACAUCCCGUUGUGGAAAUGGGAAGACAUCACGAUGGAUUUUAUCACAAAGCUUCCCAGGACUGCGCACGGUGUAGAUUCGAUUUGGGUCAUCGUGGAUCGAUUGACCAAGAGCGCCCAUUUUAUUCCGAUCCAGGAGAGCAUCUCGGCCGAAAAGUUGGCCGAUAUCUACAUUAGGGAGAUACUAGCGCGACACGGGGUUCCGGUGUUAGUGAUAUCAGACCGAGAUGUGCGAUUCACUUCCAGAUUUUGGAAGAAGUUUCAUGAUGAGUUGGGCACUCGUUUUCAUUUUAGCACUGCUUUUCACCCACAGACGGAUGGUCAAAGUGAGCGGACCAUCCAGACUUUAGAGGAUAUGUUCCGGGCAUGUGUGUUGGAUUUCGGUGGUAGCUGGGAUACCUAUCUUCCCUUGGCCGAGUUCUCAUACAAUAACAGCUACCAUGCGAGUAUAGACCGUCCCACAUUCGAGAUGUUAUAUGGACGGAGGUGCAGGACCCCGAAACGUUGGGGUGAAGUUGGCCAGAGGGUCAUGGGGAGCACCGAAGUGGUGCUCAAGACGACCGAGAGGAUCCAGCAGGUUCGGAGCAGGCUUCAGACUGCUCAGAGUUGACAGAAAAGUUACGCCGACAAGCGUCGAUCCGAAUUGGAGUUCCAAGUCGGGGACAUGGUUCUCCUGAAGGUGUCGCCUUGGAAGGGCGUCAUUCGAUUCAGGAAGCGGGGCAAGUUGGGACCAAGAUUUAUCGGACAGUUCAGGGUUGUAGCCCGGGUGGGCAAGGUGGCAUAUAGAUUGGAUCUGCCAGUCGAGCUCAGCCAGAUCCACAACACUUUCCAUGUCUCUUAGCUACGGAAGUGCUUAGUGGAUGAUUCAGUAGUGGUGCUGUUGGAGGAUAUUCAAGUUGACGACAGCCUGAAUUACAUUGAGCGCCCAGUCGCAAUCCUCGACAGGAAGUCGAAGGAUUUGAGGAACAAGAGGGUGGAACUAGUGAAGGUGCAAUGGCAGCACCGCAAGGUUUCAGAGUGGACUUGGAAGCCGGUGGAAGAAAUGAUGGAGCAUUACCCCGAGCUGUUCCAGGAUUGAGCAGCAGACUUCGAGGACGAAGUCUAAAAUAAGUGGGGGAGAUUUGUAGCACCUGGUUCCUGGUACGUAAAUCUUAUUUGAGUAUUCUCCAUUUUAAGCCUUGGACUCGGCGAGUCAUAGGUCCGACUCGCCGAGUAGGGACGAGACCCGAGACACGUUUAAGUUGGCGACUCGGCGAGUCCAUAUCUUGGACUCGGCGAGUGACCGCUGUUGGAUGAAACCCUAAGUUUCAGGGGUUUGCACCCAAUUUAAUCCCUCUUUCCGCCCCAAGCCAACCCCCAUUCACCCCCCAGAAGCUCUCCAUACGUUCUAGCUCUUGUUCUUGUGAGUUUGAGGCAUCUUUGUGUGUAUUCUAGAAGAUUUUGAGAAGGAAGUGGAGUAGAUCAAGAGGAAGGUAAGGAAGCCAAGCAUCUUAGUGUUCUCUCAAUGAUUUCCUUGAGGUAAAACUCAUUUUCCCCUGUCUCUAUGCUUAUAACUCCAUUAAAGUCUUCCUUGAGCCCUUCUUCAAGCUUGUAUGUGCAUCAUAUUUCAAAAUAAGUUGAUUGGCCACUAGAUCCAAGCAUGGUUGAGCUUUAGGAGCUCAGAUCUACUACCUUUAUGGACCCAUAUUGCAUGAAAACUUAGAUAUACUCUUUUGGUGCAUUUUGAACCCUAAAACCCCCAUAGAUGGAUAUUUACACGUAAAGUUGGAAACUUUAUGUGUUAUUCAUGCUCUAGGAGCCCAGAUCUACGAAUGGCAUGGACUGGAUUCGAGCAAAAUCGCGUUUAUGGCUCUUGCAUGAAACAUACUCGGCGAGUCACUCAUCUGACUCGGCGAGUCUCCGAGAUUGUCCACUUUUUGCUGUGUCGAGUUGUGUAGUGAGUCCAGGGCGGACUUGGUGAGUUGGAAGCCAAAACUCACCCAUGAUAGAACUUGGCGAGUCAAUGCCCAGACUCGGCUAGUUCAAGGCAAUCUCCUUAGAUCAAGAUCAGACUCGGCGAUUUGUUCAUACAACUCGACGAGUCACAGUAUAACUUGUUCAUCGGAUGAAGAUGAACUCGACGAGUUGUUGUACAACUUGGCGAGUAGGAUGAAGGACUUGAACAUCAGUUUUGAAGGAGAACUCGUCGAGUCAAUGCCUAACUCGACGAGUAGCAACAGAAUCCAGGACAGUUGUUUGGACAUGGACUCCGUGAGUUGGCGAGCCAACUCUGUGAGUCAGUUCAACUGGAAGUUGACUCUGACUUUGACUUAGAUCAUGAUCAAGGGUAAAAUGGUCAUUUUACCCAAAGGACAGUUAGCAGUAUUUGAUUGAGUAAGUUGUGGGAAUUAUAGCCGGAGGAUUUCCGGAGCACCAUCAGCAGCAAUAGACAGUCAGUUCCCGAUCAGAUCAGCAGCUACUCCGAGGUGAGCUACCUUCCAGUAGCGGUGAGUCUAAGGCCACAAUGCCGACCCACUAAUAGGAGACGUAUGAUAGAUGAUUGUCUUUGUGAUAUCAUCUAGGUUUGCUACUACCUGAUAUGUUAUAUGCUAGCAUGAUAUGUUAUAUGUGAUUGUAGUAGAGUUCGGUUGUUAGGACCGAAGGGUAGUCAGACACCCCAGAUAUGUCUGAUAUUAUGUUUGUGUUAUGAUAUAUGUGAUGGUAGUAGUAGGGGUGAAAUAGUCCCCGAGGUUCGGUUGUUAGGACCGAAGGGUAGUCGGCACCCCAGAAUAGCUCGACAUGGGUAGGUCAGCCCCCCAGAAUGGCUUGACACGGGUAGUCGGCACCCCAGAAUGGCCGUACCGGGUAGUCAGGCACCCCAGAAUAGCCUGGCAGUAUGUAUGUUAUGUAUUGUAUGGUAUGUGGUACGAUGGGGGAACUCACUAAGCUUUGUGCUUACAGUUUACAGUUUUGGUUUCAGGUACCUCUUCAUCAAAGGGGAAGGAGCUGGCACGGUAGUGGCACAUCAUGCACACACACUGGUUUCCGCAUUUAUUAGAUUUCUCUGGUAUUUAUACUCUGAUAUUUCGAUUGGUUGUAUGAAUUGGCUUUUAGACAUGGUUUAUGUUGUGAUGUGGUUUGAUCAAACAAUGUUUUCAUUUAUUAACGUUUUCUAAAGUAAUGUUUUAAAAACGAAAUUUUUGGACGUGAAAAUUUGGUCAUUACAAAGUCACCAUACAAGAAAAUCACAAAACAAUUUAACACAUACGAAUGUGUCCAAAUAAUCAUAAACAAUUUCCUUAGACUCUACUAGGACUUCUUCAUUGCUUAAUCUUCAAUCAUCAACUCUACUUCAACUCAAUUGGUGAUGGAAAUACCAGACAAUAAAACAACUUCAAGAAUUUCAUCAAUCGUUCCAUCAUCUUGCCAAUCGAAAGUGUACUUCAGAUAUACCAUACUCCUCUAAACGUACUGUUAUUUUAUAAGACAUACUCUAAAGGCAAGAUACCACUCUUACGAUAUCUUCUGAUAGGUUUCAUCCACUAUCAUAAGCCUUCUUCAUUUCCUCCAUUUACUCAAUUUAUCUACGAGUCUUCACCAUGACCUCUUGUACAUCCAAGCAGACAUUUGGUGUACCAAGAAAGAAUUUUUUUUAAGAUAAGAAAGUUUUUAAUUACGAUAAACGUAUAAAUCUCCUUAUCACCCUGAAACGUUUACAUGCUAGUUCUAAUUUCGUAGUCGUACGUUUAGAAUCCUAAACACAUAAGGUUUCCAGAUCCGAUCGGCAACAGACCAUAGGUCCGAAUAAAUAAUAGCAUCAAUAUAGCUAUCACACAAAACAUUUUGCACAUAAAAGCAUUUUAGGCAUCAUUCCUAAAAUAAACUAGUGCUUGUGUCAAUUUAGGUGUACUACCUAACAUAUUUUAGACACACUCCUCACAAUCAUUACUUAGCAUUCUAAGUUUAAGUCUAGAAAUUUCCUACAAAUUCCUAGUUCGCUUAAACUAAUGCUCUGAUACCAACUGUGACAUCCCCAAUUUCACGGCCAGAAAAGACCGAUUUGUUUAUGCUUUGUUUUNCAUUCAUUUACUCUAGUGAUUUACAUCUCCUUUCAUCUCUCAGUGCAAAGCAGCUUCGUAUCGAUACCUGUGAUACAAUUAAACUGAGCGGGUCAGGCUUGGGAGCCUGGUGAGCAUAUAGGGUUUUCAUCCCACAAUGUUAUAUCAUAUAAAUAUAUAUUGAACAUCCAAAAUUAUAUAAUUUCACCAUAUAAAAGCAACUCUUACCCCACCCCAUCGAUCCUCACAACGCCACGAUCUAAACUCUCGUAUCUAAACUUUUCCUCUUUAUCUAAUCCCUACUCACGGAUCUAAACUAAUCUCUCCACCCGAUCCAUACUCUCGGACCUAAAACUAACCUCUUGGUCUAAUCCAUACUCACGGAUCUAAACUAAUCUCUUGGUCUGAUCCAUACUCCCGGACUAGGGACAAUUAACUAUUUCUUAAUCCAUACUCCCGGAUUAAUAACAAGUUUACCUAUUGGUCUGAUCCAUACUCUCGAAUCUAAAACUGUGCCCAAUCCAUACUCCCGGACUAGGGACAAUUUACUAUACCUAAAUCCUAUUCUGGUCCAUACUCCCGGCUCUAAACUGUGCCCAAUCCAUACUCCCGGACUAGGUACAAUUUAGUAUGUCUUAAUCCAUACUCCCGGAUAAAUAACAAGUUUAUCUCUUUUCCUAUUUCAUAUUCUCGGAUCUAAAUCCAAUCUCUUGAUCUAAUCCAUACUCACGGAUCUAAAACUAACCUCUUGAUCUAAUCUAUACUCACGGAUCUCAUCUACCCAUGUCCUACCCAACAUAUUCGUAGAUACAAAAUAUGUAUACAGUUUAACUCAUUAAAGCCUAUAUAGUUCAUCCAUUCCAUACUCAUCUCAAAUAAACAAACAAUAUAUAAACACAUAGCACAUAUUUCAUAACAAAUACUUAAUAUUUAUGUGUUAGAAGAAAGUGAGAACACACUCACACAUAUAAACAUCUUUAUAUUAUACAAAUAGCAUGUAUUUCAUAGCAAAUACUUAAUAUUUAUGUGUUAGAAGAAAGUGACCACACACUCACUUGAUCAGAAGAUGAUCGGACAGCACUACGGCUUGUAGAAAUAGUAUUCUUCGGUGAAAUCGGGAUCACUUCACACACCGGGUUUCUCGCGGGCAGAGCUUCGGCUCGAAAAACUCUUUUCUUCUCGGGAUCUUCGGGCUUCGGUACUUGUUUUGGGUCUCGGGGUUGAUACCGGGGCUUCUGGGGGGGGUUAAAAUAGGGCUUAGAGGGUGUAUCGGGAGUGGGAGUGAAGGGAUGGAGCAACCAUAGUCGGUUGGCCCUUCAAAUCUAUUUAUAGGGCAAAUUUGGCCCUUGCCACGUCGUGACACCCUUUUUCCACGUCGUGGGCUUGGUCGUUAUUGAAUGCGUCAUCACAAGUUGCAUCUGGGGGACUCUCGAAGGUGUCAGGAGACUUUCCACGUCGUGGCACUGCUUGCCAUAUCGUGGUCUCUGACAGUUUUGGGGUUUCACGCCCUGAACUUCAGAAAUUCAUAACGUUCGCAUACGAACUCCGUUUUCGACGUUCUUUAUAUCGACGCGAAGGUGAUAUUAUGCUCUACAACUCUCGUUUAGACUCCAUUGGCUAAUUUUGACUUUAUUUUCAUAUAUUAUAAUUAUAUUACUUAUAUAAUAUCUUUAGUAGGCCGGGACAGGAAAACUCCGUUCGAAAUUCAUAACUCCUUCAUCUGAACUCUGUUUUCGUCUGUCAUUUUAUCGUUGGACUACUAUCGAAGAAAUAUUCGACUCUCGUUUAGAUCACUAAGGAUAGAUAUCUAUCUACCUUAAAUUCACUAUUUACGUCGCACUGGGUCGCGCUGGGUCAUGCCGGUUCUGUCGUGAAACUUCAACAGGUCAUAACUUCUUCGUUAUAACUCGGAUUUUGGCGUUCUUUAUAUGCACGGAAACCUUGUGACAUAUACUACAACUUGGUUAAGAUUAAUCCUUCUAAAUAAUCUUCCAUCAAAAAGUCAUUUUUGAUGCUUAUCGUCUCUAAAUUGACUAGCCCGGAUCUAUGGGCGUUACAAUAUAGCAUAGCAACAUCCUAAUCAGAAUAUCAGACCUCACCAGGUCACUAACAUAUGAUCGUCCUAACUACCAGGAUGAAAAUCUCACUGAUCAAAAGCAUAUCAAACAAAUACCAGUACACAAUCCAAGAAAGGGUCGACCUUGGUGCCUUAGACCUUGUUGAUAUAGUGAGGAUAACUCACCUUGCAAUGUCAGGCUGAACCACGAAAUCACGCUCCCGAAACACUACCCCGAACUCCAACACCUAUAACCAUCAAUGAUCCAAUUCAUAAAUACCCGCUUUCCAAUUAUCCUCAAAAGUCAAAACGGUCAACCCUUGGUCAAAGUCAAAGUCA